UGGGGAAUUUUGGACAAUGGGCGCAAGCCUGAUCCAGCCAUGCCGCGUGCGGGAAGAAGGCCUUCGGGUUGUAAACCGCUUUUGUCAGGGAAGAAAUCUUCUGAGUUAAUACCUCGGGAGGAUGACGGUACCUGAAGAAUAAGCACCGGCUAACUACGUGCCAGCAGCCGCGGUAAUACGUAGGGUGCAAGCGUUAAUCGGAAUUACUGGGCGUAAAGCGUGCGCAGGCGGUUUUGUAAGACAGAGGUGAAAUCCCCGGGCUCAACCUGGGAACUGCCUUUGUGACUGCAAGGCUUGAGUGCGGCAGAGGGGGAUGGAAUUCCGCGUGUAGCAGUGAAAUGCGUAGAUAUGCGGAGGAACACCGAUGGCGAAGGCAAUCCCCUGGGCCUGCACUGACGCUCAUGCACGAAAGCGUGGGGAGCAAACAGGAUUAGAUAGCCCUGGUAGUCCACGCCCUAAACGAUGUCAACUGGUUGUUGGGAAGGUUCCUUCUCGGUAACGUAGCUAACGCGUGAAGUUGACCGCCUGGGGAGUACGGCCGCAAGGUU
Molecule: ribosomal RNA, 548 nt
Filed under: uncultured bacterium
Lineage: Bacteria
Description: partial 16S ribosomal RNA
Rfam family: Bacterial small subunit ribosomal RNA
Source: RNAcentral